UGUAAUGAAUAGCCUUUAGCCAUACAUUUUUACAAAUGUGUGGCAGGGCGGUUUUGCCAAAAGUGUGGUCGUAGCCCCUUUUUCACGUAGUGCAGUCUUGAUGCGACCGUAUUCCUACCGAGCUAAUGUUUUAUUAUGAGCAUGCUACACAUAGGGCGGACUCAAUCCUUAGUGACAUUAAAACUUGAAAGACAAUUAUUGUACUUUGUUUAUGUUUAUU
This 220-nucleotide long non-coding RNA is filed under the name Helianthus annuus (common sunflower). RNAcentral's name for it is "sRNA HanXRQr2_Chr03g0105611". Lineage: Eukaryota; Viridiplantae; Streptophyta; Magnoliopsida; Asterales; Asteraceae. The record is from RNAcentral.